This 266-nucleotide unclassified non-coding RNA is filed under the name fungal sp. Its description in RNAcentral is "partial internal transcribed spacer region". The stretch from base 1 to 46 matches the Rfam family "Eukaryotic small subunit ribosomal RNA", at positions 1786 to 1831 of the family's 1831-position model. Lineage: Eukaryota; Fungi. The record is from RNAcentral.
AAGUCGUAACAAGGUUUCCGUAGGUGAACCUGCGGAAGGAUCAUUAUGAGAUUUUGAGAUUAUGUUAGAUUGUGAAGUGGUGUGCUGCAGGGGGUGAUUAGGAAUUGAUUACUUGAGGGUAAUUGAUUUGUGUGUGAAUCACACUUGAGAGCACACACAAAAUAACAAGAACGAUAUUAUGGGAUUGAUAAAAAAAAAGUGGAUUUAUUACUACCACACACAAUAAUAACAAAUAACAACUUUUAACAAUGGAUCUCUAGGCUCUU